Long non-coding RNA from Panicum virgatum (switchgrass), 2461 nucleotides. RefSeq lists it as uncharacterized. The transcript has 3 exons. NCBI's taxonomy places the organism in Eukaryota, Viridiplantae, Streptophyta, Magnoliopsida, Poales, Poaceae. The record is from RefSeq and is a predicted model, not a curated record.
UAGCUUGACACCAAAGGAUAAGUAGCCCUGACUAGCUUGCCCGGCCUCACAACAUCAACAGCCCAUCCAAAGACUCCCAGAGCACACAGCGGCAAACACUACCACCCCACGAUGGCUCUCAGUGCAAGCAGCACAGGCUUGGUGAUGCUGUGCUUCGCUUCUCUCCUCGUCUCAUCACUUGCUGAUGAUACCUCCGGAGCCCUUGCAGAUGCUGGUAAGAAUAUGGCAUCAGGAGGGGUCGUGGAUGCGUACUCCCCACCAGGGCCACCAACAUAUGGUCCUCCAACUUACGGCGCAGUGAAUAGAAUAACAGCUAGAUGUGUUCUUGUAGUUUUUUGUUGUAUGUUUUCUUUUCUUUUCUGAACCUUCUGUUUCAUUUUAAAAAGCAGGGCAGACCGCCGAGUUUAUGGAGUAUGUAUGCAAAUAAAAUUAUCAGGACUCAACAUGGAUGCACGUUUGGCUGCAUGCAUGUAUGAGCAUAUAUUCCUUGCUUAUUAGGCUCCAGAUAGUGUCAAAUCUUAUAGACUGCAAUAAAAUGCAUUUGUUAAAUCUUGUUUUUUAUCACCACAAAUUCAAAACACCGCAGCCCUUAACCCCCUUCCCCUGCUGCUGCUGCUUUGGUGCGUUCGAAAAAAGCUGCAACGGUGCAACCGAAUGGUCUCUAACGGCACCUCCCUCGACACCGACACCACAAUCAUGUCCACCGAAAAAAAAAUCAUUGCCACCAUGGCUGCUGACCUCAAGCUCUAGACACCAAUUCCCCUUGUGACCUGGUGUACUCUGCUCUCCGUUGUAACAAUAAGCUCUUGAUGCCCUUUCAUCUCCCCUCGCCCUCCCCUCUGUUGUAACCCUGGGCACUACACCGUGCCCACGCAAAAUUUUAGCCACCAUAUGUGUAGGUCCUGCACAUGCAACUUUGUUUGAAUGGAAGUUCAAGCAUGCGUGUGGCCAUGGUUGGUUCAUAAGAACCAUUUAAUUUGAAAUAAGUUAUUUUUAAAAAAGAAUUAGUCAGAAGAGCUGCCGAUGAUAUUAAAAAUAAGAAUAAGUGAACCUAGACUAGACGUUACAACAUAUGCAAGAGGAACUUCAAAAACUACAACAAGAUGGUCCAAUAUCUAUGCCAUCUACAAAGCAACUAAAGACAUCAGGGGCGGGAGGACGCGGCCGGCGGUGGGCGGGUGGAUCCGCUGCAGUUUUUUUUAUUAUUGACUGAGGCGGGCGCACAACCGCCUCAGAAAAGGGUUCAUUUACUGUGACCCUUGGUCUGAGGGCGGUUGCAAAAACCGCCUUAGUUAAUCGAUUUUGACCGUCUCAGAAAAGAUUUGUGUAAUAGUGUGUCUUGCUGAGGUCGAGAUGAAUAUCACUACAAGAAAUCCUUGGCUUUUUGACGUAAAAUCCAUUUAUGACGCUGGCUUUAUGACGUUAAUUAUGACAUAGUUAUGUGAAUUAUGACACUAUUUAUGUGAAUUAUGACAUUAGUUAUGUGAAUUAUGACAUCAAUUACAUGUAUGAUGAUAAAAAUGCACAAACUUAUGUCAUAAUUCACGUUUUCUGACAUAAACUUGUGUCAUAAUUCACAUAACUAUGUCAUAAUUAACGUCAUAAAGCCAGCGUCACAAAUGGAUUUUACGUCAAAAAGCCAAGGAUUUCUUGUAGUGUAUUUGCAUAACAACACGUCAAACCGAUGUGGUUAGGCAUAUGUUAUGUAUGCCAAUUUGAGUUGAAGAAUCGGUGAAUGCGCUUCUAUACUUAUUAAGUGUCAUUUGGCUUGUAAACCUUUACAAUUUACAAAAGGCUAAAUUGUAGCAGAUUUUAUUGUUGAGCAUCGGGCUGACAAUGAGCAUGGUAAGAUUCUUGAAGAAGGAAAUGACCGAUAUAUGAGUAUCGCCCUUACAAUUAUUUUGCCCAAGAUGUUCUGUGUUAAGCAUCGUGCAAAGCUCAUCAAAAGACUGGGGGGCAUGUUAAAAAUGCAAGCUCAUCACCAAAACUUCAAGACCAACCGAAUACUUGCCUAUACCAAGGGAAUCACAAAGACCGAUUAUCACUAAUAGUGAUCCGGCCAGAAUUGUACGUGUUAAUGGUAAUAGAGGUGAGAAGAACAAAAAACAAGAAGACAAGUGUUUGCAGCCGAGUUGAUGUCCCUCGGGCUUAUCUCACACUCAAAUGGAGGAGGUUGCAGCGGAUGCGUAAGAAAAAAUCAAUAGAGCAACAGGUUGAGGUAGUGCCGGCUAGGUCAGCAAAUACCAAGCAGGUAUGAGAGCCAAACCGAGUGGUUUCAUCAUCACCUUGAAUUAGAGCAAAUCAUGACCGACACAUAGUUUCAUCGCUCUUAGAAGCAAGAUAUGGCCGAUGUAUUGUUCAUCAUCAUCCUUAGUUAAUUUUGGUCCAGAAUAUUAUUUUUUGGCAUGCAAGCUUUGUCAAAAAAACAGGAGGCAUAUGUUGACGACCAAAAUUGGCACAA